This 447-nucleotide ribosomal RNA is filed under the name uncultured bacterium. RNAcentral describes it as "bacterial SSU rRNA". It matches the Rfam family "Bacterial small subunit ribosomal RNA", at positions 329 to 792 of the family's 1533-position model. The record is from RNAcentral.
UUCCAGACUCCUACGGGAGGCAGCAGUCGGGAAUAUUGCGCAAUGGAGGAAACUCUGACGCAGUGACGCCGCGUAUAGGAAGAAGGUUUUCGGAUUGUAAACUAUUGUCGUUAGGGAAGAUAAAAGACUGUACCUAAGGAGGAAGCCCCGGCUAACUACGUGCCAGCAGCCGCGGUAAUACGUAGGGGGCGAGCGUUAUCCGGAAUUACUGGGUGUAAAGGGAGCGUAGACGGCGAAGUAAGCCUGAAGUGGAAGCCCGCGGCCCAACCGCGGAACUGCUUUGGGAACUGUUUUGCUGGAGUAUGGGAGGGGUAAGCGGAAUUCCUGGUGUAGCGGUGAAAUGCGUAGAUAUCAGGAGGAACACCGGUGGCGAAGGCGGCUUACUGGACCAUGACUGACGUUGGGGCUCGAAAGCGUGGGGAGCGAACAGGAUUAGAUACCCGAGUA